GACGUAGGAGGCGAGCGUUAUCCGGAUUCACUGGGCGUAAAGCGCAUGUAGGCGGCUGGAUAAGUCGUGUGUUAAAGCCCCCGGCUCAACUGGGGGGGGUCAUGCGAGACUAUUCGGCUUGAGGGCAGCAGAGGAGCGUGGAACUCCCGGUGUAGCGGUGGAAUGCGUAGAUAUCGGGAAGAACACCGGUGGCGAAGGCGGCGCUCUGGACCGAGACUGACGCUGAGGCGCAAAAGCGUGGGGAGCAAACAGG
RNAcentral lists this ribosomal RNA (253 nucleotides) under uncultured bacterium. Its description in RNAcentral is "partial 16S ribosomal RNA". It matches the Rfam family "Bacterial small subunit ribosomal RNA", at positions 524 to 776 of the family's 1533-position model. The record is from RNAcentral.